This 69-nucleotide antisense RNA is filed under the name Actinosynnema mirum DSM 43827. RNAcentral describes it as "ASpks TB sRNA". It matches the Rfam family "ASpks TB sRNA". The record is from Rfam by way of RNAcentral. Lineage: Bacteria; Bacillati; Actinomycetota; Actinomycetes; Pseudonocardiales; Pseudonocardiaceae.
CUUGAGCGAGCCCAGCAGCAGCGGCUCCUCGCGGUCCUGCCCGUAGGUCGCGAGCAGCGCCUGCGCCUC